Molecule: ribosomal RNA, 545 nt
Filed under: Escherichia coli
Lineage: Bacteria; Pseudomonadati; Pseudomonadota; Gammaproteobacteria; Enterobacterales; Enterobacteriaceae
Description: partial 23S ribosomal RNA
Rfam family: Bacterial large subunit ribosomal RNA
Source: RNAcentral
UGGGAGGCUUUGAAGUGUGGACGCCAGUCUGCAUGGAGCCGACCUUGAAAUACCACCCUUUAAUGUUUGAUGUUCUAACGUGGGCCCCUUACCGGGGUUGCGGACAGUGUCUGGUGGGUAGUUUGACUGGGGCGGUCUCCUCCUAAAGAGUAACGGAGGAGCACGAAGGUUGGCUAAUCCUGGUCGGACAUCAGGAGGUUAGUGCAAUGGCAUAAGCCAGCUUGACUGCGAGCGUGACGGCGCGAGCAGGUGCGAAAGCAGGUCAUAGUGAUCCGGUGGUUCUGAAUGGAAGGGCCAUCGCUCAACGGAUAAAAGGUACUCCGGGGAUAACAGGCUGAUACCGCCCAAGAGUUCAUAUCGACGGCGGUGUUUGGCACCUCGAUGUCGGCUCAUCACAUCCUGGGGCUGAAGUAGGUCCCAAGGGUAUGGCUGUUCGCCAUUUAAAGUGGUACGCGAGCUGGGUUUAGAACGUCGUGAGACAGUUCGGUCCCUAUCUGCCGUGGGCGCUGGAGAACUGAGGGGGGCUGCUCCUAGUACGAGAGGAC